UGGGGAAUAUUGCACAAUGGGGGAAACCCUGAUGCAGCGACGCCGCGUGAACGAAGAAGGUAUUCGUAUCGUAAAGUUCUGUCCUAUGGGAAGAUAAUGACAGUACCAUAGAAGAAAGCUCCGGCUAAAUACGUGCCAGCAGCCGCGGUAAUACGUAUGGAGCAAGCGUUGUCCGGAAUUAUUGGGCGUAAAGGGUACGCAGGCGGUUUAAUAAGUCGAAUGUUAAAGAUCGGGGCUCAACCCCGUAAAGCAUUGGAAACUGAUAAACUUGAGUAGUGGAGAGGAAAGUGGAAUUCCUAGUGUAGUGGUGAAAUACGUAGAUAUUAGGAGGAAUACCAGUAGCGAAGGCGACUUUCUGGACACAAACUGACGCUGAGGUACGAAAGCGUGGGGAGCAAACAGG
RNAcentral lists this ribosomal RNA (403 nucleotides) under bacterium. Its description in RNAcentral is "partial 16S ribosomal RNA". It matches the Rfam family "Bacterial small subunit ribosomal RNA", at positions 355 to 776 of the family's 1533-position model. The record is from RNAcentral.